GCAUGUGAGGGCGAUCUGGCUGGGACAUCUGUCACCCCAUUGAUCGUCAGGGUUGAUUGGGCUGAUCUGGCUGUCUAGGCUGGUGUCUCCUUACUCCCUCACCGCUCCAUGUGCUGGAAGCUGCUCGCUCAGUGGAGGAGGACGGCCUUUCCCAAAUAGAGACAGACAGACUGGUCUUGGUUUGAGGGUAUACAAGUAGCUGGGCUCCCCUGCUAGAACCUCCAAAUAGGCUCUCAAGGUAUGGAUAUUGUUGAGGAGUAAAGAAUCUCCACUGCUUUAUUUAUUAAAGGGAAGGAUCCAAGAGUAUCUGGGGGAUCCAAAGUAUAUUUUUCAAU
Molecule: non-coding RNA, 335 nt
Organism: Erinaceus europaeus (western European hedgehog)
Lineage: Eukaryota; Metazoa; Chordata; Mammalia; Eulipotyphla; Erinaceidae
Source: Rfam